This 415-nucleotide ribosomal RNA is filed under the name uncultured microorganism. Its description in RNAcentral is "bacterial SSU rRNA". It matches the Rfam family "Archaeal small subunit ribosomal RNA", at positions 459 to 873 of the family's 1478-position model. The record is from RNAcentral.
CAGCCGCCGCGGUAAUACCGGCGGCCCGAGUGGCGGUCACUAUUAUUGGGCUUAAAGCGUCCGUAGCCGGGUUGGGAAGUCCUCCGGGAAAUCUGGCCGCUUAACGGUCAGAAUGCCGGAGGAUACUCCCAGCCUAGGGAGCGGGAGAGGCCGAGGGGAUUCCCGGAGUAGGGGUGAAAUCCUAUAAUCCCGGGAGGACCACCUGUGGCGAAGGCGCUCGGCUGGAACGCGUCCGACGGUGAGGGACGAAGGCCAGGGGAGCAAACCGGAUUAGAUACCCGGGUAGUCCUGGCUGUAAACGAUGCGGACUUUGUGUCGGACAAGCUAUGAGCUUGUCCGGUGCCGGAGGGAAACCGUUAAGUCCGCCGCCUGGGGAGUACGGCCGCAAGGCUGAAACUUAAAGGGAUUGACCGGG